UACAGAGGGGGCAAGCGUUGUUCGGAAUUACUGGGCGUAAAGGGCGCGUAGGCGGCCUUCUAAGUCGAACGUGAAAUCCCCCGGCUCAACCGGGGAAUGGCUGGAUAUACUGGCGGUCUUGAGCGAUCUAGGGGCAGAUGGAACAAGUGGUGGAGCGGUGAAAUGCGUAGAUAUCACUUGGAACGCCAAAGGUGAAAACAGUCUGCUGGGGAUCUGCCGACGCUGAGACACGAAAGCCAGGGGAGCGAACGGG
This 253-nucleotide ribosomal RNA is filed under the name uncultured bacterium. Its description in RNAcentral is "partial 16S ribosomal RNA". It matches the Rfam family "Bacterial small subunit ribosomal RNA", at positions 524 to 776 of the family's 1533-position model. The record is from RNAcentral.